This 253-nucleotide ribosomal RNA is filed under the name uncultured bacterium. Its description in RNAcentral is "partial 16S ribosomal RNA". It matches the Rfam family "Bacterial small subunit ribosomal RNA", at positions 524 to 776 of the family's 1533-position model. The record is from RNAcentral.
UACGAGGGGGGCAAGCGUUGUUCGGAAUUAUUGGGCGUAAAGGGCGCGUAGGCGGCGCGGUAAGUCACUUGUGAAAUCUCUGAGCUUAACUCAGAACGGCCAAGUGAUACUGCAGUACUAGAGUGCGGAAGGGGCAAUCGGAAUUCUUGGUGUAGCGGUGAAAUGCGUAGAUAUCAAGAGGAACACCUGAGGUGAAGACGGGUUGCUGGGCCGACACUGACGCUGAUGCGCGAAAGCCAGGGGAGCAAACGGG